RNAcentral lists this transfer RNA (81 nucleotides) under Caudoviricetes sp. Its description in RNAcentral is "tRNA-Leu". It matches the Rfam family "tRNA". Rfam says of the family: Transfer RNA (tRNA) molecules are approximately 80 nucleotides in length. Lineage: Duplodnaviria; Heunggongvirae; Uroviricota; Caudoviricetes. The record is from RNAcentral.
GCCCGGAUGGUGGAAUGGCAGACACAGCGGACUUAAAAUCCGCGAGCAUACGCUGUGAGGGUUCGAGUCCCUUUCCGGGUA